AUGAAUCUUCUAAGUUGGAACUGCCGGGGGGGAGGGAACUCCCGGACAGUUCGAGAUAUUGCGACGAUGGUGCAGUCGCAUUUCCCCAUGUUCGUUUUUCUGUGUGAGACUAGGCAGAAAGCUAGCAAAAUGAGAAGGAUAAGAGGACACCUAGGACUUCAAGGUUUUGAAGGAGUAGACAGCAAUGGGCUAAGCGGGGGCCUGGCCCUCUUUUGGCAUGAGUCUUGUCAAGUCGCAGUACUGUAA
RNAcentral lists this ribosomal RNA (246 nucleotides) under Triticum aestivum (bread wheat). RNAcentral's name for it is "partial small subunit ribosomal RNA". The record is from RNAcentral. Lineage: Eukaryota; Viridiplantae; Streptophyta; Magnoliopsida; Poales; Poaceae.